Molecule: ribosomal RNA, 253 nt
Filed under: uncultured bacterium
Lineage: Bacteria
Description: partial 16S ribosomal RNA
Rfam family: Bacterial small subunit ribosomal RNA
Source: RNAcentral
UACGUAGGGGGCGAGCGUUGUCCGGAUUUAUUGGGCGUAAAGAGCGUGUAGGCGGCCAGGUAGGUCCGUUGUGAAAACUCGAGGCUCAACCUCGAGACGUCGACGGAAACCGCGUGGCUAGAGUCCGGAAGAGGAGAGUGGAAUUCCUGGUGUAGCGGUGAAAUGCGCAGAUAUCAGGAAGAACACCAAUGGCGAAGGCAGCUCUCUGGGACGGUACUGACGCUGAGACGCGAAAGCGUGGGGAGCGAACAGG